Molecule: non-coding RNA, 30 nt
Filed under: Mus musculus (house mouse)
Lineage: Eukaryota; Metazoa; Chordata; Mammalia; Rodentia; Muridae
Source: RNAcentral
UCCUACUUUAUCCAUAUAGCUUGCUGCCUA